Molecule: ribosomal RNA, 459 nt
Filed under: uncultured bacterium
Lineage: Bacteria
Description: partial 16S ribosomal RNA
Rfam family: Bacterial small subunit ribosomal RNA
Source: RNAcentral
CCUACGGGGGACAGCAGUGAGGAAUAUUGUUCAAUGGUCGGGAGACUGAACCAGCCAAGCCGCGUGAGGGAUGAAGGUACAGAGUAUCGUAAACCUCUUUUGUCAGGGAACAAAGGCGGGGACGCGUCCCCGGAUGAGUGUACCUGAAGAAAAAGCAUCGGCUAACUCCGUGCCAGCAGCCGCGGUAAUACGGAGGAUGCGAGCGUUAUCCGGCUUUAUGGGGUUUAAAGGGUGCGCAGGCGGUCUGUUAAGUCAGCGGUCAAAGCCCGGGGCUCAACCCCGGCCCGCCGUUGAAACUGGCAGUCUCGAGUUGGAGAGAAGUAUGCGGAAUGCGCGGUGUAGCGGUGAAAUGCAUAGAUAUCGCGCAGAACUCCGAUUGCGAAGGCAGCAUGCCGGCUCCACACUGACGCUGAGGCACGAAAGCGUGGGUAUCGAACAGGAUUAGAUACCCUUGUAGUC